ACAGAGGGUGCAAGCGUUGUUCGGAAUUACUGGGCGUAAAGCGUGCGUAGUCGGUAUUGAGAGUCGCGGGUGAAAUCCCAGGGCUUAACCCUGGAACUGCCUGCGAGACCUCAGUACUAGAGUGUGAGAGGGGAUAGUGGAAUACCCAGUGUAGCGGUGAAAUGCGUAGAGAUUGGGUGGAACACCGGUGGCGAAGGCGGCUAUCUGGCUCACAACUGACGAUCAGGCACGAAAGCGUGGGGAGCAAACAGGAUUAGAUACCCUGGUAGUCCACGCCGUAAACUAUGCAUACAAGCUGUAGUGGGGUUUUACUCCUGCUGUGGCGAAGCUAACGCAAUUAGUAUGCCGCCUGGGGAGUACGGUCGCAAGACUA
This 373-nucleotide ribosomal RNA is filed under the name uncultured organism. RNAcentral's name for it is "bacterial SSU rRNA". It matches the Rfam family "Bacterial small subunit ribosomal RNA", at positions 525 to 896 of the family's 1533-position model. The record is from RNAcentral.